This 67-nucleotide transfer RNA is filed under the name Serritermes serrifer. RNAcentral describes it as "tRNA-Leu". It matches the Rfam family "tRNA". Rfam says of the family: Transfer RNA (tRNA) molecules are approximately 80 nucleotides in length. The record is from RNAcentral. Lineage: Eukaryota; Metazoa; Arthropoda; Insecta; Blattodea; Serritermitidae.
GCUCCUUUGGCAGACAAGUGCGUUAGAUUUAGAAUCUAUUAAUGUGAAUUUUAAUUUACAAGUAGUA